This 236-nucleotide unclassified non-coding RNA is filed under the name Hevea brasiliensis (rubber tree). Lineage: Eukaryota; Viridiplantae; Streptophyta; Magnoliopsida; Malpighiales; Euphorbiaceae. The record is from RNAcentral.
UCUCUUCCCAAUCAUCAAGCAUGCUAUUUGCCUCAAGCUGCAGUUCAUUGCCAAACAUUGAAAAUUAAUUUUGAAUAUAUAAAAAAAAGCCAAACAUCCUAUCUUUUUCAAGAGACACAGGCAUUUACAGGAAGAAACAUUGUAAAAUUAAAAGAUGGCAUGGCAGUCACUUGACAGCUAUUCGAGGACUAUGAGUUCUCAGAAUCAUUAGCAGACGGUAUAGAGAAGGCUUAAAA